This 90-nucleotide transfer RNA is filed under the name Candidatus Falkowbacteria bacterium HGW-Falkowbacteria-1. RNAcentral's name for it is "tRNA-Ser". It matches the Rfam family "tRNA". Rfam says of the family: Transfer RNA (tRNA) molecules are approximately 80 nucleotides in length. Their secondary structure includes four short double-helical elements and three loops (D, anti-codon, and T loops). Further hydrogen bonds mediate the characteristic L-shaped molecular structure. tRNAs have two regions of fundamental functional importance: the anti-codon, which is responsible for specific mRNA codon recognition, and the 3' end, to which the tRNAs corresponding amino acid is attached (by aminoacyl-tRNA synthetases). tRNAs cope with the degeneracy of the genetic code in two manners: having more than one tRNA (with a specific anti-codon) for a particular amino acid; and 'wobble' base-pairing, i.e. permitting non-standard base-pairing at the 3rd anti-codon position. The record is from RNAcentral. Lineage: Bacteria; Candidatus Falkowiibacteriota.
GGAGAGGUGCCAGAGUGGUUGAAUGGAACAGUCUUGAAAACUGUCGUGCCUUAACGGGUACCGAGGGUUCGAAUCCCUCCCUCUCCGCGA